CCUAGAGUUGUAGGCUUUGCCUGCUAUCUCUUACCCAUGUCUUUUGAGUACCUUCGUUUCCUCGGCGGGUCCGCCCGCCGAUUGGACAAUUAAACCACUUGCAGUUGCAAUCAGCGUCUGAAAAACUUUAAUAGUUA
Molecule: unclassified non-coding RNA, 137 nt
Filed under: soil metagenome
Description: partial internal transcribed spacer 1
Source: RNAcentral